This is a non-coding RNA of Phascolarctos cinereus (koala), 1476 nucleotides long. The record is from RefSeq and is a predicted model, not a curated record. Lineage: Eukaryota; Metazoa; Chordata; Mammalia; Diprotodontia; Phascolarctidae.
UGACUUCAGAGUAGGAAGGGUAGAACAGAGAUGGCCAACACAGGAUUGAAAUCAAAGGUAAAUGAAGAGAUGCUAAGAGAACAAGGAGCUGCCCUUGUAACAAACUCAAGGAUCCUGAAGAAAUGAUUCGGGGAAUUCACUGCGAUUGUCAGGCUUCCGAAGAUGCUCCGGCUGCUGGUGGCGUACUCCACGAAGGCCAUUUAAAGUGUGUAAAAUGAAGAGGAUGAAGAAGAUGGCUUCCAGGGUCCAUUCCCUCCGUGGGCCUGACGUUUCUAGCCUGUAAAAUGAAGAGGUUGAAGAAAGUGGAUUCCGGGGUCCCUUCCCCCCUUGGGCCUGAUUUUUCUAUCCUGUUAAAUGAGGAGGUUGAACAAAAUGGCUUCCUGGGCACCUUCCAGCUGCAGAUCCAGGUGUGUGGCAUUGGAACAACUUGGUUUCUAGUUACCUCAUGGAAUAAUUCUAAUUUAUGAUUUGGAAGAAGAAGCUUUAUACAAAGCAUCCACAACUUAUGCAAGCAUCUACAGCUUUUCCUUUUCCCAAUUGGGGAUUGGCCUUCAAAACUGGUCUUCAGAAGCUCCUUGAAAGUCAGUCCAUUUUAUUCUAUGACCAUGUCUUCAUGAUACACAGCAGUAUUGAGUCUCUCAGGCCAUUUGGACAAUUCAGUGAAGACAAAGCAAACUGGUUGCUUGAAUUAAAAGGCUGAUUGGUUGGUUGAAGGCCAGCUUCAUCAGAGUGGUUGAAAUAAUGGGUUCAGAUUCACUUACGUCUGGCAAUCAGGAAGAGCAAGAAAAUGGAACUGCAUUGAUCCUGAGGAUUGAAAGUGGGAAAGGACUUUCCAAUUCAUCUAGUUCAACACCUUCAUUCAACAGAUGAAGAAAAUGAGGAGUUUCAGAAGAAUUCUGCUGCAACAGGCAAAAUGUCAUAUCUGAAGAGGAGUGGAAGACUACGUCAUCGAUAGAAAAUUCUCUUUCAUCUUGGAGCCUGUGCUGGAUCCUGGAGCUUGGCAGUGCCCAAGACAUCACUGGCUCUGACUGCCAUAUCACACCUCCUUAUUCUACAGAGAAAGAAGCUGAAGCCCAGAGAGAAGUUUGAUGAUUUACCUCAGGUCUCCUACAUAGACUGCAAUCUUUGACCUGAGGACUGCUUUUGCUGCUUCCCACAAAUAUGGGUAUAUUGUUUCAUCAUUAUCAUUUGUUUUCACAUAACUAUUGUUUCUUUAGUUUGUCCUUUGACCAAAUUAUUAUUUAGAAUUUCAUUAUCAUGUCUCCAUUUGGGUUUGUGUGGAAAAGAUUACUUGGUAAUGGCAGUGUGAGAGAGAGAGAGAGGAGACUACUGUGGAGCAGGGGAAGAAGGUGCAUGUGAAAGCCAUUGGAAGGAGUAGAAGGAGGAUUAUAAAAGAAAUGGACAAUGGAAGAUAGUAGGGAGACAAUUGGGGGCAGUCAGGUAGCACAGUGGAUAGAGUAUUAGGCCUAGAGUCUG